CAAACUAACCAAAACAAAACCUAAACCUUCCAACGUUUGCCUCAGGGAUUUCCAAUGCACAUGACAUGUUAAAGGUUGUUAUCCCCACAAAUUUGAGUCAUCUUUACACAAGCACAUACUUAAUUAAAGCCACUACUCACUAGUUCACAAGUAAUCAAUUAAAACAAUGCUUUGAAUGUAGUAACAUGCCUUAGAAAGUUCCCUCAAUUCCUUACAAGAUAUACACUCUAUUUUCACUCAGAUUUUCUAACUCCACACCCUACACUAGUCAUAUGUGAGAAGAUUGAUGUAAAUAUGGAAACGAAUGCUCACAUAUAUGUAUCACAAAGAACGCAAUUUCUAGAGUUAAGAAGCAUGUUUAGAUAUGAUCUCAUGAAUGGAAUGCUACUACUUAGAUGCGAGAACCAGUGACACCAUAUGCUCAUACCAAAUUCAAACUCCACAAAUUGAAACACAUAACACUCAAGAUAGAAGUUAAGGGUUGUAAUGGGGCUUGGGGUGUUGGUUAACAAGGAAAGGAUAGGGAAAACAAACGUUCUUCAAGCAAUAGUAAGCACAGCAAUGAAAUUGAGACUUAGAAUUCACUUAGAUUGCAGAAAUUAACUUUAAAACACAAGGGGGAGACUUAAACAACUCCUUAGGGUCAAAUUCAUUGUUUUGGACCCUUACUUCAACAAACAAUACUUUGGAACUCUUUUUCUCAACUUUUCAACUUUUUUUUCAUUCUUCUCGUAUUUUUUUUUUCUUCAAUUUUUCUUUUCUUUGCCGUGCCUAUGGCACACAAUUCCUCAUGAAAAACACUUCCCCCACACUUAUUUUCUGCUAACAUAGAUCACAAGGAAUUCAAUUCGAAUCAUGCUUUACUAUGCUUUAAGAACAAGGGUAUGGAUAGUCCUAAUCUAAGGCUAGGUGAGGGUAAUGUGGGUUAACAAAGAAAAGGCUAAACAAGGCUCAACGGGGUUAAACUUAAACAUAUAAUGGAGUAGGGCACACGGCUUUUUGGCUAAGGUGGUGGUCACUACACAACUUCAUCUUGAAUAUGUGUUAUGCAAUUCAAUGACAUGCUUUGAAUGAAAUGGGCAUGAGUUCUAGCAUUUGGAACUAAAUGAUGAAACGCCUUCUAAGUAGUAACCAAGCAAAGAAUAAUGAGAUCAUGCAACGACUUAGAAAACAAAGAAUGCACAGAUUUUAACUCUCCAAAUAAACGUUUAGGCUCAAGUCUCACAAGGUUGUAGCGUUAGUUUGAGUUCCUUCCUUCAAGCAUGUUACAAAAACUGAUUUUUUUCUUUUAUGAUUGCAUGUGAAUUCAUAAGUUAUAACCACAACUAAGCAUACACAAAGAGUAAAUCAAACUUUCAUCCAUGUUAAUCACUCUCUUUAACAGCCAUGUAAUUACAAACCGAAUCCUCAUCAUUGUGUUGGAAGGUACCCUAAGACACAAACAAACACACAAAAACAACUCUUUUUGGGUUUUUAAAACAAAUUUUUCAAAUUUUUAUGUAAUUUUCGGAUUUUUACUUCAAAACACAUUAAAACACAUCAAAACUGCUCAAAAACACUUAAAAACAGCAAGGAACAAGUCUUCAAGUUUAGGGUGAUAAAAUCCCACGAAUUUGCAUCUAAAACACUUAGUUACCCCCCCACACUUAAAUCAAACAUUGUCCUCAAUGUUUCAAGCAUAAAAUCACACUAAAAAAAAAGAAACACACAAACAGCAACUAAAACAACUAAAUAGGCAGAUUCGAAAUAAAUAACAAAGGGAAGAGUUUAGGAACGCAAAUCUGGAAUUGGAGUGAUUCCUUGGUCUUCCUUUGUUGAAUUGCAUGGGUUGCCUCCCAAGUAGCGCUUUCUUUUACGUCUUGCAGCCGGACGAAAAACACAAUCAUGCCCUAUUGGAGCCCACGGCACUCUCAUACAUUGCAUCUUUGAACGGUAAUGGAUAGUGAUGUUCGUUGAUGGGUGCGUUGUGUUGCCUAAGGUUCACGUACAUGCGCCCACCAUCGGGGAUUUGCUUGGGUACCUGCACCAUAGAAGGGAACCACCUCUUAAUUUUAAUGGGAAUUGGAUUUGGACUAGGUGCCUUACCUUGGUGUUGUGAUGAAGUGGCAGCAACAUGAACUGUUUUCCUCAUGGUAUUCUCGGCCACAUGGGGUAUCUUAAGGGCAGUGGCCGUGGGGUCCUCAUGCUCCACUCCAAUUCCCUCAUCUUGCAUGGUUCUUGAAGCAACCUUUGUGUUAGGGGCUGAAUGAUCCGUCCCUAUCUUUUCUAUCGUAUCAAUAACACAACAAGAACGAACAACGUUAGGAGUCUCAAUGGAUUCAGGAAUUUUAAAACAAAUCAUAUCACCACCAAAUGCCAUAGUUACUUCUCCUUUGGCUACAUCAAUCUUGGUUUGAGCCGUUUUCAUGAAAGGCCGUCCAAGGAGAAUGGGCAAUGAAGGAGCAUGGUCCGAUUCAUCCAUUUCGAGGACAUAGAAAUCCGCCGGGAAGACUAAAUGAUUAACCUGCACAAGAACAUCUUCCAAAACUCCCUUUGGAUAGGCGUUAGAUCUAUCAGCCAAUUGUAUUAUUACACCAUCCUGUUUAAGUGCUCCUAGAUUCAUAGAUGCAUAAACAGAAUAUGGCAUAACAUUAAUAGAUGCUCCUAAAUCUAGCAUGGCAGAUUUGAAACGGGUAUUACCAAUGACACAUGGAAUUGUAAAGCUCCCCGGAUCUUUGCAUUUGGGGGGUAGUUUACGUUGCAAGAUGGCGGAGACAUUCUCGCUUACAUGUACCACUUCUUUCUCCCGGGCACGUUUCUUUGUCGCACAAAGCUUCUUUAAACACUUGGCAUACUUCGGGAUUUGCUUUAUUGCAUCAAGGAGGGGAAUGUUGACAUUGCACCUUUCCUAAACGUCUCUAGAACAUCUUUUUCCUCCUCUUCGUUCUUGGAUUGCAAAAAUCUACUAGGAAAGGGGACAUUCAAAGGAAAAACAUUAGUAGGACUUGAAUUUAACACAUUCUUACCCUUAUUGGACAGAUUUGCAGGUUUAGGGUCAUUGGAGGCUUGCGGCAAAGGUGGAACCACCCUUGCCGUGGGUUGCUUUGAUUCCUCCUCUUCCAUUUGCAAAAUUUCAUCCUCGUUAUGACCUGUUUUUGAUGAAGAACCUGCCCCAACUUCUUUUCCACUCCUUAGCAUGAUUGCAUUUGCGGUUUCAAAGCCUCCUUUUGGAUUCGCAAUGGUUGAACUAGGAAGCUUUCCUUGUUCUCUAAACUGCCCAACAAACUCGGCAAUCUGCCCAAUUUGUUUCUCAAGUUGAUCCACCCUUUUGUCUUGGAUUUGCAUAGCCUUAGCUUGAUCUUCCUGUCCAUUAGACAACUUAGUUAGUAUCUUAAGAAGUGCAUCAUUGUCAAGAGACGUACCUGAGGCACUUGGGCCGGAUUGGGCUUGAUUUUGGGGUGGGCCGUAGGUUUUGGGAAAGAACCCCGGGGGUUGUUGCCUAAAGCCUCCUUGGUUCUGAGGUUGCUGGGGCUCCCUCCAUUUGAAGUUUGGAUGGUCCCGCCACCCCGGAUUAUACGUGUUGGAGUAUGGAUCAUGCCUUGACUGAUUUUGGCUUUGAAACCCAAUGGCAUUCGCACUCUCCCAUUCGCCAUUCUCGAUGAGUUGAGGACAUUUUUCGGAGACAUGUCCUUGGAUAGAACAUACGCCACACACCACAGGUCCUUGUAUCUUCAUUCCCUCGGCCAUCUGUGAAACAAUAGAAGUAAGAUUAGCCAAUUGUGAAUGAAGAUCGGAAGUUGAACUUACCUCAUGUACUUGGUGCCGUGGGGGUCCCCUUUGGCCUACACCCUCGUAUUGUUGAGCGUUCAACGCUCUAUUAGCAAUCAAGACCUUGGCAGCCAUGGGUGUUUUGUCCACUAAUGCCCCCCCCGCCGAAGCAUCAAGCAUUUGACGUUCUAGAGGUAAUAGACCCUCGUAGAAAUAUUGCAAAAGCAACUCCUCCUUCAUCUGAUGCUGUGGACAAGAAGCAACAAGUGAUUUAAAUCGUUCAUAAUAUGUAGAGAAAGACUCACCUUCUUCUUGCUGAAUUCCGCUUAUCUUUUUGCGUAGGAGGAUGAUGCGAGAAGUUGGAAAGAACUUCUCCAAGAACGCUCUCUUCAUACUCUCCCAAGAAGUGACAGUGCCGGGAGCUAACUCAUAUAACCAAUCCUUGGCUUUAUCCAUCAAAGAGAAUGGAAAAGCCUUCAUCUUCAAGAUAUUUCCGUCAACAUUGACGGGAGUCAUACUAGAGCAAACUACUUCAAAUUCUUUCAAAUGUUUGUUAGGAUCUUCCAUGGACAAGCCAUGGUAUUUAGGAAUAUGAUGAAGCAAACUUGACUUUAAUUCAAACUCAUCCGUCUUACCUUGGGCAGCCGCGGGGUAUUGGAUGCACAAGGGUGUGCGGCAUUAUCCAAACCCGAGGCGGAAAGCUCCUUGAGUGUACGAUUGUCCAUGGCCAUGCCUUGGACUUCUUCAAAUAUCCCUGCCGUGGCUUCCUCCUCCUCUUCUUGUAUGUUUUCUUCAAGGUCAGAUUCGGAAUUGAGUGGAGGGUGUUCUUGCUGAUUUCUAGCUCUUCUCAAAUUCCUCUCAAAAUCGUCGUCAAAAUCCAAGAUGUUCACACGAAUCGGUUGAGAGCUUCUAGUCAUACAUUAGUACCUAAGAACAAGAAACAAAAUUAGGUCAGAAACUUAAACAAAGUCAGAAACAAAGUGAAAUAAAAGAAACAAAAACAAUCCAAGGGAUUAGCAAAAUUGCUAAUCCCCGGCAACGGCGCCAAAAAUUUGAUGUGAAAAUUAACUUGACACACAAAUUAAACCCUCUUUUUGUCAAAUUGUAGCAAAGAUGUAAGUAGGGAUCGUUCUAGACCGGGGAUUAGGAGGGAUUGCUAAACGCUUGGAAACUGACUUAAACACUCAAAAACAAAGUUAAAAACACUAAACUAGACUCAAAGAAUGCAAAACUAAAAGUUAAAACACUUAAACAAACCUAAAAACCAAAACAGCAACUAGAAGGCUCAAAACUGCCUAAAAACCACUUUCUGGGCAGUUUUGAGCACCUACACUAAUUUGGACGAAAUUUGAUGAAAACUUGAAUCAAAAUACUUAGAAACACAAAUCAAAACACUUUCUAACUAAUCUAAGACUUCAAAUUAAAGGGGGAUUUGUUUUGGACGAAAAUUAAACUAAAGAAAACAGAUUGGAAAUAGGGCAGAUUGUAAAAACGAUUUUGGUGAAAUAGAUGGUUAAAAGGCUAGUUAGGAGGUUCUUCUCCACACAUGUCACACUUGCAAACAAAACGAUUUUCAGUUGUUCUUCCGAUAAACUUAUGAAUACUCAACGCCCCAAGUUAACCGUGAAUUACACUAAUUAACCCUCAGUUUUUCCACAAGUUAUUAAGUUGGAUGAUUGCAUAUGACAACCCAAAACAUUCCCUACAAGUUCCCUACAUGAAUUGCAUAAUAGAGAUACAAGCAAGAAUCAUUACGUUCUAUGAAAAAACAUAAGCAUUGACGAAGCAUUUGUUACUAUGAAUUGCAUGAAACUUAUGCUAAGAAUUCAUUCAACGCGAUCGUUUUCAAGCGAUCUUCACUACUUGUGAUUAUAAGAUUGUAACUAUUAGGUGAAACUCCCUCAUAAUCUAGCAUCAUAUUCAUGCAUGAAAACUAAGCGUGCACUCUCAAUCAACAUACACAAAUAAGUUUAUCAAUCAAAUAGAUGAACGAAUUGAAUCCAUAACUUAUGAAAUAACAACUGAAUGUAAUCGAAUCAAAUUGCAAGCAUGUACAUGGUUUCGAAUCACCCCCCAACUAAGGGGGUUUAGUUCCUCAUACUCACAACACAAAGUUUAUUGAAUUGAAACAUCGAAGACAUAAGAAAGAUUACACCUAAAAUGCCAAAGAAUUCCACUUUGAAUUCUGCACAGCAAGCUCCUCUUUCUUCUUCUCCUUGCUGCGGCAGAGAGGGUUUAGGGGAUUUUUGGGUAGUUUUGGAUGAUUUUGGACGAGGGAGAAUGGUGGAAAAUGUCUAGGAUGGGUGUAGGGCACGGCUAGGAAGGUUUGGGGUCAGAAAAUAUGGAGUUGGGUGAAGGUUGGGCUCGGCAAAGGUGAGGGACAGGUUCUGGCGUGAAUGGAGUUUUCUGGAUGUGUUUUUGGGUUUUUGAAAGGUAGAUAGGAUAGUAUGGUGGUGCGGCAAGGUGUGUGGAAUGGUUUAUGGAGGUGGAGAAUGGUGUAUGGAUGUGUGGAAUGGUGCUGGAAUGGAUGGAAGCUGCGGCAAAAGGUGGGAAAGGUUGCUGGAAUGGGUGGUGGCUGCGGCAAGGAGGGGAUUUGGGUGAUGGUGAUUUUCUGAUUUGUGUAGAGGGAAUGAUGAUGUGCGGCUAGGGUUUAGAAAUAUAUAUAUAGGCAUUUAAAAACCCUAGCAAAUCAGAUUAGGGCCUCUAAAACACAAAUCCAUCAGAAAUUAGGUUGAAACAAUUAGACAUUUAGUGGGAAAAAGGGCCUAGGGUGCGGCUGGUAUGUGGGCUAAGGUUAGGGUUUCUAGAAACCCUAACAAGGCAAGGCAAAGUGAUUCUAGAGGGCCCAGGUGCGGCAUAGGAUGAAGGUCCAUAAGGAAUUUGGGUUUAGGUCAUCUAAAAGCCCAAAGCCAAGAAUAGAAACUCACGAAAAUGGAAACCUCCAAGAAUAGAAACUUCCAACUUUUAGAAACUUGGGUUGCCAAUUCCGGUUUAGGAAAGAUCAACCCAAAAUGGAAACUUUUAGGCUUAGCUUUCCUACAUCAAGUAGGAAACCUCAAAUCUUCAACUCUUCAAUUCCAUCCCAACCUUGUGUUCCAAGCAUGUCCUUUUCAAUCCAAGCUCACUUUCUUGCUCCAAAAGCUCCAACUUGCAUCAUUUCAUGUAAUACGUCCUUUAACCUGAAAACACAUGAAAGUAGCUUAAAAGACUACUUUAACGAAGAAAACAUAACAAAAAUGCAUAAGAACUAGCUAACUAAGGCGCAUAAAUAUGCUCCUAUCAAAUGCCGUGGUCUUCUCUUUGUAAAUUCGAGCAUUCUCAUAAGCUUCAUGCCUAAUCUCUUCAAGUUCACUCAAUUGAAGCUUUCUAUGAAUUCCAGCUUGGUCCACAUUCAAAUUGAAUGUCUUGAUAACCCAAUGUGCCUUGUGUUCUAAUUCCACGGGAAGAUGACAUGGUUUGCCAUAAAUGAGCCGAAAUGGAGACAUACCAAUGGGUGUUUUUAAGCCGUACGAUACGCCCGUAGUGCAUCAUCUAAAUGCAAGCUCCAAUCUUUUCUAUUUGGCCCAACGGUCUUCUUCAAAAUCUGUUUGAUUUCCCUAUUUGAAACCUUGGCUUGGCCAUUUGUUUGGGGGUGAUAAGGCUUUGAAACUUUAUGCGUCACAUUAUACUUCUUAAGUAGCGCCUCAAUGGUGUGAUUGCAAAAAUGAGACCCCCCAUCACUUAUGAGCACCCUAGGCAUCCCAAAUCUGGAAAAGAUGUUAGAUUUCACAAACUCUGCAACAACUUUAGAAUCGUUAGUUCGGGUGGCUUUUGCUUCCACCCACUUCGAAACAUAAUCAACCGCAAGUAAACCAAAAGAUGAAGGAAAAGAACCCAUAAAAUCGAUACCCCAAACAUCAAAAAUUUUAACAAGGAUGGGAACCUGCGACAUUUGGUCUUUUUGGCCUAUAUUUCCUGUCCUUUGGCAACGAUCACAUGUUAAGCAAAAGGUUCUAGCAUUUUUAAACAAAGUAGGCCAAUAAAAUCCACAUUCAAGAACCUUAAAAGCUGUCCUUUGGGUGCCAAAAUGACCCCCACAUGCAUAGGUGUGGCAGAAACUUAAAAUUGAAUGAAAUUCGGACUCAUGCACACACCUACGUAGAAUCUGAUAUGGGCAAUAUUUCCACAAGUAUAGGUUAACCCAAACAUAAAAUCUGGCAUCCUUUUUAAGUUUAUCACGUUGGAACUUGUUAAGAGUGUUGGGAACUUGUUUAGACACCAAAUAAUUGACCAAAUCAGCAUACCAAGGCUCACUUACCUUAAUGGACAGUAGUUUCUCAUCUGGAAACAUUUCUGGAAUGGGAAUGGACUUCUCUUCACCCACCAAUCGACUUAAGUGAUCAGCCACCACGUUGUCACUCCCUUUCUUGUCUUUAAUUUCAAUAUCGAACUCUUCAAGAAGAAGCAUCAGACGAAUGAGUCUUGGUUUUGCUUCUUUAUUUGUGAACAAGUACUUCAAGGCUGCAUGAUCAGUGAAAAUAAUGACUUUAGUGCCAAUUAAAUAAGAUCGAAACUUAUCUAAUGCAAAUACAACAGCCAAUAGUUCUUUUUCAGUUGUGGAAUAGUUCAAUUGAGCAUCAUUUAAAGUACGGGAAGCAUAAUAAAUAACAUGUGGCUGCUUGUUUUUCCUUUGUCCUAAAACAGCUGAUGCGAAAUAUAUAAGCACACAAAUUAAACUCUCUUUUUGUCAAAUUGUAGCAAAGAUGUAAGUAGGGAUCGUUCUAGACCGGGGAUUAGGAGGGAUUGCUAAACACUUGGAAACUGACUAAAAAACUCAAAAACAAAGUUUAAAACACUAAACUAGACUCAAAGAAUGCAAAACUAAAGGUUAAAACACUUAAACAAACCUAAAACACAAAACAGCAACCUAAUGACUCAAAACUGCCUAAAAACCACUUGCUGGGCAGUUUUGAGAACCUAACAAGAACUUGGACGAAAUUGGGUGAAAACUUGAAUCGAAACACUUAGAAACACAAAUCAAAACACUUUCUAACUAAUCUAAGACUUCAAAAUAAAGGGGGAUUUGUUUUGGACGAAAAUUGAAAACAAAACAGAAACUUAAAACUAAACAGAUUGUAAAACGUUUUUGGAUGAAAAGGAUGGAUAAAAGGCUAGUUAGGAGGUUCUUCUCCACACAUGUCACACUUGCAAACGAAACGAUUUUCAGUUGUUCUUCCAAUAAAUUAUAAAUACUCAACGCUCCAAAUUAACCGUGAAUUGCACUAAUUAACCCUCAGUUUUUCCACAAGUUAUUAGGUUGGAUGAUUGCAUACGACAACCCAAAACAUUCCCUACAAGUUCCCUACAUGAAUUGCAUAAUAGAGAUACAAGCACGAAUCAUUACGUUCUAUGAAAAACAUAAGCAUUGACGAAGCAUUUGUUACUAUGAAUUGCAUGAAACUUAUGCUAAGAAUUCAUUCAACGUGAUCGUUUUCAAGCGACCUUCACUACUUGUGAUUAUAAGAUUGUAACUAUUAGGUGAAACUCCCUCAUAAUCUAGCAUCAUAUUCAUGCAUGAAAACUAAGCGUGCACUCUCAAUCAACAUACACAAAUGAGUUAUCAAUCAAAUAGAUGAACGAAUUGAAUCCAUAACUUAUGAAAUAACAACUGAAUGUAAUCAAAUCAUAUUGCAAGCAUGUACAUGGUUUCGAAUUACCCCCCAACUAAGGGGUUUAGUUCCUCAUACUCACAACACAAAGUUUAUUGAAUUGAAACAUCGAAGACAUAAGAAAGAUUACACCUAAAACGCCCAACAAUUCUACUUUGAAUUUCUGACUUCAAGCUCCUCUUUCUUCUUCUCCUUGCUGCGGCAGAGAGGUUUUAGGGUAUUUUUGGAUGUGAUUUUGGUUUUAGAAGGGAGUUAGGAUGGUAUGGUGGUGCGGCAAGGGGUAUGGAUGGUGUAUGGAGGUGUAGAAUGGUGGCUGGAGGUGUAGACUGGUUGCGGCAAGGAGUGGGGAGUGGCUGGUUUGGAUGGAGGAGUGGCGGCUAAGGGUGUAAGGAUGAUGGUGGCUGCGGCAAGGUGGGGAAAUAAGGUUGGAAUAAUUUCUGAAGUAUGGAGAGGUGAUGUGUGCGGCUAGGUGUAGAAAUAUAUAUAUAGGCACUUAAAAAUCCUAGCCAAUCAGAUUAGGGUUUCUAGAAACCCAAAUCCACCAGAAAAAUAGGUUAAACAAUCAGAAAUUUUGUGAGAAAAGGGCCUAAGGUGCGGCAAUUAAGUGGGCUAGGGUUAGGGCUUCUAGAAAGCCUUGCAAGGCAAGGAAAUAUGUGUUCUAGAAGGGGAAAGGUGCGGCUGGUUAGUGGGAAUGUGGAUAGGGCUUCUAAAAAGCCCAAAACCAAGAGAAACUAAGCCCUAACCCACGGCAAGGAUGACAAAAUAUUCUAACACCUUUCUUUGUGUCUUCCAACGCUUCGGAACCUUCUAAUGUUGCUCAAACGCAAGGCCAUUCCGGUUUAGGAAAGAUCAACCCAAAAUGGAAACUUUUAGGCUUAGCUUUCCUACUUCAAGUAGGAAACCUCAAAUCUUCAACUCUUCAAUUUCAUCCCAACCUUGUGUUCCAAGCAUGUCCUGAUGUGUAAAUUAACUAGCACUCAAAUUAAACCCUCUUUUUAUCAAUUGUAGCAAUGUAUGUAAGUAGGGAUCGUUCUAGACCGGGGAUUAGGAGGGAUUGCAAAAUCACUUGGACAUGACUCAAAAACGUAAAAACAAGUUUUAAACACUAAAAUAGACUCAAAGAAUACAAAACUAAACUUUAAAACACCAAAACAAACCAAAAGACUCAAAACAGCACCAAAACACUCAAAACUGCCUUAAAAACACAAUCUGGGCAGUUUUGGACACUAAGCACCAAAUUGGACGAAUUUGGGUUUUAACUUGAAUCAAAACACUUAAAAACACAAAGUAAAACACUUACUAACUAAUUUGACACUUUAAAACAAAGGGGGAUUGGUUUUGGCCGAAUUUAAAAACAAAACAAACUUUGUAAAUUAGAACAGAUUGUAAAAACGAAUUUGAUUUAAAUGGGUGAAUGGAAGGCUAGCUAAGGGGUUCAUCUCCCCACAUGUUAUACUUGCAUACGAAACGAUUUCCAAUUGCUUUUCAAUAAACCAUGAAUUCUCAAUGCCCCAAGUUAAUUAGGUCCGCUUAAAUUAACCUUCCGAUUUUCCUAACGGUAUUGAAUUGGAUGAUUGCAUACGACAACCCAAAACAUUCCCCACAAGUCCCCUACAUGAUUGCAUAAUAGAGAUACAAGCAAGAAUCAUUAAGUUCUAUGAAAACCAAAAGCAUUGACGAAGCACUUGUUACUAUGAUUGCAUGAAACUUAUGCCAAGAAUUUACUUAACGCGAUUGAGAUCAUCAACCUUUACUACUUGUGAAUAUAAUUCCAAACGAUUAGGUGAAAUUUCCUUAUAUCCUAGCAUUCAAUUUAUGCAUGAUAAUUAAGCGUGCACUCUCAACCAACACACACAAAUCAAUGUAAUCCACAUAGAUAAGUAAAUUGAAUUCACAACUUAUGAAACGCAAUUAGAAGUAAUCAAAUCAUAACGCAAGCAUAAACAUAUAUUUCGAAUCCCCCCCUAGCCAAGGGGGGGUUUAGUUCCUCAUACGCACAAAACAAAGAGAAUUGAAUUUAAACAUUGAAAUCAAAGGAAAAGAAACACCUAGAAAUUCCAGCGACGCGAACUUGAAUUGCAUGAACUUCCGAGCUUCCUUCUCCUCCUCCUUGGUGCGGCAAGGGUCUAGGGACAGGUUUUAGAGCCUUAGGGGUAUGGAUGCAUGGUUAUGGAGGGAUGUAGUAGUGUUUAGGGAAAGGGAAAUGGUUGCGGCAAAGGUGUGGAGAGGGUUUGGACGAAUUUCUGGAGUGAUUUGUGAAUUGUGGCGAGUGGUGAUCUGAUUUAGGGGUUAAUAGGAGUAUAUAUAGGCACUUAAAACCCUAGGGUAAUCAGAUAUGGACUUGGAUAACCCAAAUCCACAAGGAAAUAGGUCUAAACAAUCAAAUUUUGCAAGGGAAAAGGGGUCCUAGGUGCGGCAGGGAUAGGAUAAGGUGAUAAGGUUUCUAGAAUGCCUUGCAAGGCAAGGAACUAGGCAUCUAGAAGCUAGGGUGCGGCACCAAUGUAGGGAUUUAAGGAUAGGGCUUCUAGAAAGCCCCAAAACUGAUAGGAAUUGCAUGAAACCCACGGCAAAGAUGUAAACUUUCUAGAAACUUCUCAUUUGUGUCCUACAACACUUUGGAGUCCUUCUAGCACUAGGAAAACAUGUCUCAAUCCUCCCUUGACUUGGAAUUCUUCUCCUUCUUCAUCUUGGAUUCCUUUUCCUUCUUCAUCUUGGAAAACUUCUUUGUUGCUGAAACUUGAUGCCAUUUGGAUUUAACUUUCCUACUUCAAGUAGGAAACCUUGUUUGAGUAGGAAUCUUCAUCUUCAAGGAAUCCUAAUUCAACUAGGAAACCCAUUUUGACUAGGAAUCCUAAUUCAACUAGGAUUCCAUCUUCACUUAGGCGCUUUCCUACUUCGACUAGGAAACCUUGUUCAAGUAGGAAACAUCAUCUUCAAAUCUUCAAUUUCGUCCAUCCUCUUGGCUCCAAGCAUAUGACAUUCAUUCCAAGCUCAACUUUGCUCCAAAAGGCUCCAAAAUGCAUCAUUUUGCAUACUUUGCCCUUAGAACCUGAAAACACAUAAAACUACCUUAAAAGACUACUUUACUUAAGCAAAAACACUAUAAAUGUACAAGAACAAGCUAAACUAAGGCGCAUAAAUAUGCUCCUAUCAUCUGGGAAUGUCUCUAUGAUAGGCACGACAUCCUCCUCAUGCACCAUACGGCUUAGGUGGUCAGCCACCACGUUUUCACUUCCCUUCUUGUCCCGGAUUUCGAUAUCGAACUCUUGAAGAAGAAGCAUCCAACGAAUGGGUCGUGGUUUGGCCUCCUUCUUGGUGAACAAAUACUUCAAUGCUGCAUGGUCCGUAUAAAUAAUAACUUUAGUACCAAGCAAAUAAGAACGGAAUUUAUCUAAAGCAAGUACAACAGCAAGAAGUUCUUUUUCAGUGGUAGAAUAAUUCAAUUGUGCAUCAUUUAAAGUCCGAGAGGCAUAAUAGAUAACAUGCGGCCUCUUGUCCUUCCUUUGCCCCAAAACAGCUCCUGAUGCAUAAUCGGAAGCAUCGAACAUAAGCUCAAAAGGAAGGCUCCAAUCCGGUGGAACUAUGAUAGGUGCCGAAGUUAGCAUGUCCUUGAGGUGAUUGAACGCCUUCUCACACUCCUUGUUGAAGAUGCCACAUCUUUCUGGAGGAGACGGCAAAGAGGGUUUGAGAUCUUGGAGAAGUCCUUGAUAAAUCGCCUAUAAAAUCCUGCAUGACCAAGAAACGAACGAACCUCUCGAACCGAAGUAGGAGAGGGUAAGUAGCGUACAAGAUCUAUUUUCGAUUUAUCCACUUCAAUUCCUCUUUCUGAAACAAUAUGCCCUAGAACUAUGCCUUGUCUAACCAUAAAGUGACAUUUUUCCCAAUUAAGCACAAGGUUAGUUUCUACACAUCGUUUCAAAAUUAUUGUGAGAUUUUCCAAACAUCCAUCAAAUGAAUCACCAAACACACUGAAAUCAUCCAUAAAUACCUCAAUAAUCUUUUCCACAAAAUCUGAAAAGAUACUUACCAUACACCUUUGAAAUGUGGCCAGAGCAUUGCAUAACCCAAAAGGCAUGCGACGAUAAGCAAAGGUACCAAAGGGGCAUGUGAAAGUUGUCUUUUCUUGGUCAUCCGGCGCUAUGACAAUCUGAUUAUAUCCAGAAUAACCAUCAAGGAAACAAUAAAAAGAAUGACCGGCUAACCUUUCAAGCAUUUGAUCAAUGAACGGCAAAGGGAAGUGGUCCUUCCUUGUGGUGGCGUUGAGCUUCCUAUAAUCAAUGCACACUCGCCAACCUGUUUGGAUGCGGGUUGGCACAAGCUCAUUCUCGGCAUUCUUCACCACUGUCACUCCGGACUUCUUUGGAACACAUUGCACCGGUGACACCCAACGACUAUCAGAGAUCGGAUAAAUCACUCCACAAUCAAGAAGUUUGAUAAUCUCCUUUUUCACAACUUCCAUCAUUGGAGGGUUGAGACGGCACUGAGCCUCUCGAGUUGGUUUAGCCCCCUCCUCUAGAAGUAUGCGAUGCAUGCACGUAGUCGGGCUAAUUCCCCUAAUAUCGGCCAAAGUCCACCCAAUGGCCGUCUUGUGCUCUUUCAACACUCGGAUCAACUUCUCCUCCUCUAGGGCCGUGAGUGAUGAGGAGACAAUGACGGGCAAUGUCUCGUUGUCUACCAGAAAGACAUACUUUAAAUGAUCGGGCAACGGUUUAAGCUCAAGUACGGGUGCCUGAAUCACUGAGGGUAACAACUUAUUAGUGGAAACUGGAAUUGAAAUUGGGUUAGAAGGCUUACCAUGGUGUUGAGGUAGUGACUCAAGGGCAGCCACUAUCUCGGCCUCCUCCUCACUUCUAGGCACGGGGAUUAGGAGGGAUUGCUAAACACUUGGAAACUGACUUAAAAACUCAAAAACAAAGUUUAAAACACUAAACUAGACUCAAAGAAUGCAAAACUAAAGGUUAAAACACUUAAACAAACCUAAAACUCAAAACAGCAACCUAAUGACUCAAAACUGCCUAAAAACCACUUUCUGGGCAGUUUUGAGAAACCUAACAAGAACUUGGACGAAAUUGGGUGAAAACUUGAAUCAAAACACUUAGAAACACAAAUCAAAACACUUUCUAACUAAUCUAAGACUUCAAAAUAAAGGGGGAUUGUUUUUGGACGAAAAUUGAAAACAAAAACAGAAACUUAAAACUAAACAGAUUGUAAAAACGUUUUUUGGAUGAAAAGGAUGGAUAAAAGGCUAGUAAGGGUCCAAAACAAUGAAUUUGACCCUAAGGAGUUGUUUAAGUCUCCCCCUUGUGUUUUAAAGUUAAUUUCUGCAAUCUAAGUGAAUUCUAAGUCUCAAUUUCAUUGCUUUGCUUACUAUUGCUUGAAGAACGUUUGUUUUCCUUAUCCUUUCCUUGUUAACCAACACCCCAAGCCCCAUUACAACCCUUAACUUCUAUCUUGAGUGUUAUGUGUUUCAAUUUGUGGAGUUUGAAUUUGGUAUGAGCAUAUGGUGUCACUGGUUCUCGCAUCUAAGUAGUAGCAUUCCAUUCAUGAGAUCAUAUCUAAACAUGCGUCUUAACUCCAGAAAUUGCGUUCGUUGUGAUACAUAUAUGUGAGCAUUCGUUUUCAUAUCUACAUCAAUCUUCUCACAUAUGACUAGUGUAGGGUGUGGAGUUAGAAAAUCUGAGUGAAAAUAGAGUGUAUAUCUUGUAAGGAAUUGAGGGAAUUCUCUAAGGCAUGUUACUACAUUCAAAGCAUUGUUUUAAUUGAUUACUUGUGAACUAGUGAGUAGUGGCUUUAAUUAAGUAUAUGCUUGUGUAAAGAUGACUCAAAUCUGUGGGGAUAACAACCUUUAACAUGUCAUGUGCAUUGGAAAUCCCUGAGGCAAACGUUGGAAGGUUUAGGUUUUGUUUUGGUUAGUUUGUUUCGUUUUGUUUUCUUUCUUUUGUUUGUUUUGCUCGAGGACUAGCAAAAGCUAAGUGUGGGGGAAUUUGAUAGGAGCAUAUUUAUGCGCCUUAGUUAGCUAGUUCUUAUGCAUUUUUGUUAUGUUUUCUUUGUUAAAGUAGUCUUUUAAGCUACUUUCUUGUGUUUUCAGGUUUAGCGGACGUAUUACAUGAAAUGAUACAAUUUGGAGCUUUUGGAGCAAAAAGUGAGCUUGAAUUGAAAAGGACAUGCUUGGAACGCAAGGUUGGGAUGGAAUUGAAGAGUUGAAGAUUUGAGGUUUCCUACUUGAAGUAGGAAAGCUAAGCCUAAAAGUUUCCAUUUUGGGUCGAUCUUUCCUAAAUCGGAAUUGGCAACCAAAGUUUCUAAAAGUUGGAAGUUUCUAUUCUUGGAGGUUUCCAUUUUCGAGAGUUUCUAUUCUUGGCGUUGGGCUUUUAGAUGACCUAAACCCAAAUUUCCUUGUGGACCUUCAACCCAUGCCGAACCCUAGGGCCUAAUCAUCUAAAAUCUGCCAUGUUAAACCCUAGUCCAUUUCUCCUAAACCCAAGCCGCACCUUUCCACCUAGAAGCCCUAUUUUACAAACCCUAAACCCUAGUCCACUUAAGUGCCGCACCUAACCCUAGCCCAUUGUUAAAAAUCUGAUUUCAUUAGGGUUUCUAAGUGCCUAUAUAUACCACCCUUACACCCUAGCCGCAGAUAUCAUUCCCUCUACACAAAAUCAGAAAAUCACCAUCACCCUAAUCCCCUCCUUGCCGCAGCCACCACCCAUUCCAGCAACCUUUCCCACCUUUUGCCGCAGCUUCCAUCCAUUCCAGCACCAUUCCACACAUCCAUACACCAUUCUCCACCUCCAUAAACCAUUCCCACACCUUGCCGCACCACCAUACUAUCCUAUCUACCUUUCAAAAACCCAAAAACACAUCCAGAAAACUCCAUUCACGCCAGAACCUGUCCCUCACCUUUGCCGAGCCCAACCUUCACCCAACUCCAUAUUUUCUGACCCCAAACCUUCCUAGCCGUGCCCUACACCCAUCCUAGACAUUUUUCCACCAUUCUCCCUCGUCCAAAAAUCAUCCAAAACUACCCAAAAAUCCCCUAAACCCUCUCUGCCGCAGCAAGGAGAAGAAGAAAGAGGAGCUUGCUGUGCAGAAUUCAAAGUGGAAUUCUUUGGCAUUUUAGGUGUAAUCUUUCUUAUGUCUUCGAUGUUUCAAUUCAAUAAACUUUGUGUUGUGAGUAUGAGGAACUAAACCCCCUUAGUUGGGGGGUGAUUCGAAACCAUGUACAUGCUUGCAAUUUGAUUCGAUUAACAUUCAGUUGUUAUUUCAUAAGUUAUGGAUUCAAUUCGUUCAUCUAUUUGAUUGAUAACUUAUUUGUGUAUGUUGAUUGAGAGUGCACGCUUAGUUUUCAUGCAUGAAUAUGAUGCUAGAUUAUGAGGGAGUUUCACCUAAUAGUUACAAUCUUAUAAUCACAAGUAGUGAAGAUCGCUUGAAAACGAUCGCGUUGAAUGAAUUCUUAGCAUAAGUUUCAUGCAAUUCAUAGUAACAAAUGCUUCGUCAAUGCUUAUGUUUUUCAUAGAACGUAAUGAUUCUUGCUUGUAUCUCUAUUAUGCAAUUCAUGUAGGGAACUUGUAGGGAAUGUUUUGGGUUGUCGUAUGCAAUCAUCCAACUUAAUAACUUGUGGAAAAACUGAGGGUUAAUUAGUGCAAUUCACGGUUAACUUGGGGCGUUGAGUAUUCAUAGUUUAUCGGAAGAACAACUGAAAAUCGUUUUGUUUGCAAGUGUGACAUGUGUGGAGAAGAACCUCCUAACUAGCCUUUUAACCAUCUAUUUCACCAAAAUCGUUUUUACAAUCUGCCCUAUUCCAAUCUGUUUUCUUUAGUUUAAUUUUCGUCAAAACAAAAUCCCCCUUUAAUUUGAAGUCUUAGAUUAGUUAGAAAGUGUUUUGAUUUGUGUUUCUAAGUAUUUUGAUUCAAGUUUUCAUCAAAUUUCGUCCAAAUUAGUGUAGGUGCUCAAAACUGCCCAGAAAGUGGUUUUUAGGCAGUUUUGAGCCUUCUAGUUGCUGUUUUGGUUUUUAGGUUUGUUUAAGUGUUUUAACUUUUAGUUUUGCAUUCUUUGAGUCUAGUUUAGUGUUUUUAACUUUGAUUUUGAGUGUUUAAGUCAGUUUCCAAGCGUUUAGCAAUCCCUCCUAAUCCCCGGUCUAGAACGAUCCCUACUUACAUCUUUGCUACAAUUUGACAAAAAGAGGGUUUAAUUUGUGUGUCAAGUUAAUUUUCACAUCAGUGGGGAAAUAGGGUUGGAUGAAUUUCUGAAUUGUGUAGCAAUGAUAUCCCCGCGGCAAGGAUGUAAAACACAUAUAUAUAGGCACCUAAAACCCUAAAGAAAUCAGAUUAGACUAUGGGCUAGGGUUUAGGUGCGGCAAAGGGCUUAAAGUCCAUCAGAAAAUAGGGUUUCUAGAACAUUAGGUGCGGCCCAAACCCUAGGGGAGAUAGAUUAGGGUUUAACUUGGCAGAAAUUAGGUGAUUAGGCCCUAGGGUGCGGCAUAGGCUUAGGAUCCACAAGGAAUUAGGGUUUAGAUCAUCUCAAAGCCCAAAGCUAAGAAUAGAAACUCACGAAAAUGGAAACCUCCAAGAAUAGGAACUUCCAACUUUAGAAACUUUGGUUGCCAAUUCCGACUUCUUUGUUCUUCACUUUUAUUUCUUCAUUUCUUAAGCUCCUUUGACCUUCAAACUCGUCCAUUCCUCGUGCUCCAUUAGCAUACACAACAUUCCGGCUCAAUUUUGCUCCAAAAAGCUCCAAAUUGCAUCAUUUCAUGUAAUAUGUCCUUUAAACCUGAAAACACAUGAAAGUAGCUUAAAAGACUACUUUAACGAAGAGAACAUAACGAAAAUGCAUAAAAACUAGCUAACUAAGGCGCAUAAAUAUGCUCCUAUCAAAUUCCCCCACACUUAGCUUUUGCUAGUCCUCGAGCAAAACAAAGAAACAAAAGAAAAACAAAAUGAAACAAAACAAACAAAACACAACCUAAACCUUCCAACGUUUGCCUCAGGGAUUUCCAAUGCACAUGACGUAUUAAAGAUUGUUAUCCCCACAGAUUUGAGUCAUCUUUACACAAGCACAUACUUAAUUAAAGCCACUACUCACUAGUUCACAAGUAAUCAAUUAAAACAAUGCUUUGAAUGUAGUAACAUGCCUUAGAGAAUUCCCUCAAUUCCUU
Molecule: long non-coding RNA, 18543 nt
Filed under: Malus domestica (apple)
Lineage: Eukaryota; Viridiplantae; Streptophyta; Magnoliopsida; Rosales; Rosaceae
Description: long non-coding RNA (MDOM_LNC021182)
Source: RNAcentral